RNAcentral lists this ribosomal RNA (386 nucleotides) under uncultured marine Chaetocerotaceae. Its description in RNAcentral is "SSU rRNA". It matches the Rfam family "Eukaryotic small subunit ribosomal RNA", at positions 587 to 972 of the family's 1831-position model. The record is from RNAcentral. Lineage: Eukaryota; Bacillariophyta; Thalassiosirophyceae; Chaetocerotales; Chaetocerotaceae.
AGCUCCAAUAGCGUAUAUUAAAGUUGUUGCAGUUAAAAAGCUCGUAGUUGAAUUUCUGAUAGAAGGGAGCGGUUCCGCAUUCUUGCGGAUACUGGCUCGUCUUCCGUCAUCCUUGGGCUUAGUCUCGCUGAUAUUAACUUAUCGGCGUUGACGAUGCCCAUCGUUUACUGUGAGCAAAUUAGAGUGUUCAAAGCAGGCAUUUUGCCAUUGAAUAUAUUAGCAUGGAAUAAUAAGAUAGGAUUUCACGAUUUUAUUUUGUUGGUUUGCGUUGUGAAAUAAUGAUUAAGAGGGACAGUUGUGGGUAUUCGUAUUCAGAUGUCAGAGGUGAAAUUCUUAGAUUAUCGGAAGACGAACGACUGCGAAAGCAUUUACCAAGGAUGUUUUCA